Mus musculus (house mouse) is the source of this 3139-nucleotide long non-coding RNA. RefSeq annotates it as predicted gene, 41878. Lineage: Eukaryota; Metazoa; Chordata; Mammalia; Rodentia; Muridae. The transcript has 5 exons. The record is from RefSeq and is a predicted model, not a curated record.
AUGGUCUAUCCCCCAGGAAGUCUGACCCAAGAUACACAAGUCCCUCAGCUCAUGACUCUGGUUGUUAACCAUCUCACCCACCUCACGAGCCCUGUAUUGUUCCAGUUUGGGUUCCCAGGUAAGGAGAAAGAGCUGCCUACCUGUUCAACAGCCGCCCUGCCCUGGGGAGAAGCUGCUGCCAGUUCUGUGCUUUGGGGACUGGAAGAGGAGACAGUCCAUUGAGUGACACACGUUGAUCUGGCAGGACAGGACCCACACAGUGAACUUCCACUGGUAAAGCCAUUCUGCCAACUGAGCCAGUGGGAACUGGACCCCAGCACCCUGAAGGGUAUGCAAGAGAAAGGCUCUGAAGUCAGUUUGACAUGAUGGACUGGGAACUCAGAGCUGUUGGCAUAUCAUCUCCAGGAUCUGGCCGGCACCUGUUUAGGAGACCUCAAUUUUUAUUCUUCCCCUGUCCUAAUGAGCAAGUCUACCCAUGAGCAAGCUGCAUACAGCCACCUCCUAAAUAUUGUCACCUGACUCAGAAGCCAGAGUGCCUCAGACUGCACCUGUCUGCAUUCCUUUACCCCUGGUUACAGCAUACAGGGUUGAGGCCAGGGACUGCUGGGCAGAUUUCAGCGGAAAUGUUUGUGUUCCUCUCUGACCAUAGGCAGAAGCCCUCAUCCUCAAACAGGUGGGCUUUGGAAGCAGGGCCUUUGAGUAGCAGAUGCAAUGCUCACAGAAUGAAGUUCCUCAAAAUAAGAACAGAUGUAUAUAUUAGACCUAUGUGUCAUCUGGGCUCUCCUGUCUCUUCUGCAUGAAGACCCGACCAAGAUGGUGCUGUCCAUGAACCAGAAAGAAGACUCUCUCUGGCCUGAGCCUGUUGACACCUCAGCUUCCAGAACUGUGAGAAAUAAGUUUGUCACAGCAGCCCCAGUGAGUAAGAAUGGUUGUACCCAUAGACAGGCAUUGGGGCUCUGCUGGCCCUCACCCAGCCUUUCCUGGGGGCUCAUUCUGGUUCAGCUAUGCGGUUAACGAACAACCUUGCCAAUGCAUGGAUUGAGAUCGUAUCGGCCUGUUUUAAGCAAAGUUUGAUUUGGUUUGACUUAGUUUUCUAAGUCCCCAGGCACUUGCAGUCUGUCUCUAACUAUGUGAUCCAUUCAUUUGUGCCAUGAAUGUGGGAAGUGGCUGCUCUGCUCAAUUGCAGUCAUUUCCAUCAAGAAAGGAGGGAAUCUGCGUUCCAAGAGACCACAAUGAGGGAAGUGAUCAUGUGAGCGGACUGAAGGUGAGAGCAACUGCCUGCCAAGGAGGCCCAAAGAACAGAUGCAGAAUGGUAGGAACAGUGCUCACCUCUCAGGAAAGAGGACUUCGCAGCCUCCUGUUGGCCCCUCUGCUGCAAUCCCUGGAAAUGGGAGCCAGAGCAUGCUAAAGGGUGGUUUGUGGAUCCACCCUUGAAUUUAGAAACAGCCUGAGCUGGGUGUUUUUCAUGGCUCCUCUGAGCAGCUGGGUCCCACUUCCAGUGACCUGGUGAAGAGCUGCAGGUGUCUCCUGUCAGGGGCGAGGUGAGGCCCGGAUGUGGUACUGGUGGAAAUGCAUUUCUCUUCAAACCCAGGGAAGACAAUAUGCCCUUUGGGGUCUUUGAAGAGUCAAAGAAUGCCAGCUUGGCCUGCUCUAGACUGCAGGCACCUGGAAUCAAACUGUCGGCCCUGUCGGGUCUUGUUGCUAUGAUGGUCCCAGAUGGAGGUGCCAUUAUCUGAGGAAGCAGAACCAAAGUUUUGACAGAAUUACUUACCUCACCUUGUGCAGAGCUUAGUCUCAAGCAGUCAGCCUAGGAUGUUUUACUGUGGUGUGUGCAGAGCAGGCAUGAAAAUGGCCAAUAUGAAGGGUGUCUUGAUUUCAGGCUCCCGGACAUUCUCACAUAGAGAGGAAAAGUUGAUGGAUAAGUCUCCAGAUGCAAUUCUGACAGACUUGACAAAGGUUGAUGGAAGACACUCGUAGCUACUACCCCAGAGAGAAAGUGCCAGAUUCUCACAGGGUGCUCUUACAGGAAGUCAUAAGAAGUACUAGGCUCCCACAGAAAAUGUCAGCCAUGCUAUGGUAGGCUUGGAAGUCAGAACCCCAUCCAGCCCCGAGAUCAAACAGGCAGCCCUCCACCUCUGUGGCACACAUACAUCCCCCAGCCCUGUGAGUGCUCUGAAGCACAGACAACUGGCUCUGCAGGACAGAGUGAAUGUUCUUCCUAGAGAGUUGUUAUUGUUAUCUAUUGCUUUUCAAGAUGGUGGCACAAAGGGAUUAAUCAGCUUCCCCCAAAUCACAGAGUUCUGGAGAAUGUUCCUUGUGGCUAGACCACUGUGUUCCAAAUAACACCAGAAGAAUCACCUGUCGCUGUAUCCAAAAACAUCACCAUUUGGGCUUGUAUUCUUGGGAGCUAAGGUUCCAAGAAGCAUGCAUAUAAGUGGGGUCGCGUCUUUCUUUAUACUCACACCACCUGCCUUGUGGAUUCAAUAAACGUCCUAUGUCCUUCCCUGUGAACACAGCUCAGAGUCAUUCCCCCCCCCCAACACUUUUAUUCUUUUUUUUCUCUCACUGGGCUAGAAUCGAAACAUUAUUGUAGUAACUAUUAGUUUCAAGGAAAGAUUGUAAUUGCUUCUAGAUCCACUCACGAGUUUCAAGAGCGAUUUAACCUUUAACUUUCUCAGUACAAAGGAAGGCUUGCUGCGCAGUGAAUCUAACAAGACCAUCAUUUAUCGCUGGCAGAGUUCAUUAGUCAAUCGUAACAGUUUAAUUAUUAGCAUUUUAAUGCAUGAGCAUUUAACCACACAGAACAACAAUCUUGGCACACAGAACAAGACUUCUUAAAGGGAGUGGAACCAGUCUGUACAAUUGCUUGUAUUGUAAUGUGUUAUUAAAAUGAGAUAAUUAAAAUGCAAGAAACAAAUGAGUCCACGUAUUUCACCAGCAUUCUGCUUCCUGGUGUGCAUGGUAAGGUUGUUUUCGUUUUAUUUUUUUUUAAAGCUUGUAUUUUUACUUUAAAAUUGUUUUCAUUUUUCUGUUACAGGUCCACAUGCUGUCAGGAACACUGGCCAUGAGAAGUAGCUUUUAUAAGAAAGAGGGAGCCGGGGCGUGGUGGCGCACGCCUUUAAUCCCAGCACUCGGGAGA